AUGAAUGCACCUAUGUACACGCAAGAACCUUCUACACAGCCAGUGUGAGCUUUUACUUCAAGAAAAAAUAUCAGAUAUAGUAACAUCCUUUAUUUUUUUUGGUAAGGUAGUAACAUCCUUUAUUAUGAGCAAUCUCCAUUCCUCAGUCGUCGGUAAAGAUCCAAGUAACCCAAUUGUUCUGGUUUGAUGAACCUGCAUAGACAAAAUGGAACAGAAUGUUUUGUCAAGGGGGUCAUAUAUAAGGAUGUUAAUAUCCCGGGGGAGAAAGGAAUAAGUACCCGUGCCGAAACAAGAAGUCAGUAAUGACAAGGGAACAGUUUGGCUUGAAAAAACUAGUCUCCCG
RNAcentral lists this long non-coding RNA (343 nucleotides) under Capsella grandiflora. Its description in RNAcentral is "long non-coding RNA (CGRA_LNC000188)". Lineage: Eukaryota; Viridiplantae; Streptophyta; Magnoliopsida; Brassicales; Brassicaceae. The record is from RNAcentral.